AUACAGGAUCCUUAUACGGCGAGUGAACGGGAAAAGCUCAAAUUUGUAAUCUGGCUGUCUUCGAUAGUCCGAGUUGUAAUCUAUAGACGUGUUUUCCGCGCUGGAUCGUAUCUAAGUCCCUUGGAACAGGGUAUCAAAGAGGGUGACAAUCCCGUGCUUGAUACGACCACCAGUGCUCUGUGAUACACGUUCUACGAGUCGAGUUGUUUGGGAAUGCAGCUCAAAAUGGGUGGUAAAUUCCAUCUAAAGCUAAAUAUUGGCGAGAGACCGAUAGCGAACAAGUACCGUGAGGGAAAGAUGAAAAGCACUUUGGAAAGAGAGUUAAAUAGUACGUGAAAUUGUUGAAAGGGAAACGAUUGAAGUCAGUCGUGUUCUUCAGAUUCAGCUGGUUCUUCCAGUCUACUUCUGUUGAACGGGUCAACAUCAGUUUCGUCCGGUGGAUAAAGAUAGUAGGAAUGUAGCUCCCUCGGGAGUGUUAUAGCCUAUUGUUGCAUACACUGGGUGAGACUGAGGACUGCAGCUCGCCUUUUGGCCGGUCUUCGGACACGUUCGAGCUUAGGAUGUUGACAUAA
This 572-nucleotide ribosomal RNA is filed under the name Cutaneotrichosporon cavernicola. Its description in RNAcentral is "LSU rRNA". It matches the Rfam family "Eukaryotic large subunit ribosomal RNA", at positions 67 to 634 of the family's 3401-position model. Lineage: Eukaryota; Fungi; Basidiomycota; Tremellomycetes; Trichosporonales; Trichosporonaceae. The record is from RNAcentral.